RNAcentral lists this ribosomal RNA (253 nucleotides) under uncultured bacterium. RNAcentral's name for it is "partial 16S ribosomal RNA". It matches the Rfam family "Bacterial small subunit ribosomal RNA", at positions 524 to 776 of the family's 1533-position model. The record is from RNAcentral.
UACGGAGGGUGCGAGCGUUGUCCGGAAUCAUUGGGCGUAAAGGGCGCGUAGGUGGCCCGGUCAGCGUGCGGUGAAAGCUCGGGGCUCAACCCCGAGUCGGCCGUGCGAACUACUGGGCUCGAGCACUGUAGAGGCAGGCGGAAUUCCGGGUGUAGCGGUGGAAUGCGUAGAGAUCCGGAAGAACACCGGUGGCGAAGGCGGCCUGCUGGGCAGUAGCUGACACUGAGGCGCGACAGCGUGGGGAGCAAACCGG